RNAcentral lists this long non-coding RNA (803 nucleotides) under Equus caballus (horse). RNAcentral's name for it is "lncRNA (ENSECAG00000050115.1)". The record is from RNAcentral. Lineage: Eukaryota; Metazoa; Chordata; Mammalia; Perissodactyla; Equidae.
CCACGAGCCGAAUUCGGAUUCUAACGGGUUCUAAUGAAAAAUGCAGGAGGAUCGGGGUCCAGUUCUCAGAAGAGGGGGCUGGGCUGCGCUGGGCUGGGCUGGUGUCUGGCUAACACAGAGGCUGAGGGAGGGAUGCGCUGGAAUGAACAUGUGGAGCGAGAAGAAGCCCAGACCAGGUUCUUUGUGUGUCUGUGGCCGACUGCCUUCCUCCAGCUGCAAGUGCAGAGAACGUGUGUCACCACAGGGCUCUUGCACUGUCCAGCACACACUCACGCAAGGUUUAUUUUUAUGAAUACAACGUAAAACCAAGAACAUUCCCAGUCCUCGUUAUCUUCCAUAAGAGCAUCUACCAAAUCUAACUGACAGUCCAAACCUGGACAGUCCCAAACCUGACAUGUUGCCCUCCUUCAAUACGAUGACGUCCCCUCCUGAUCAUGUCACUAUAUACUCCCAAUAAGUAUACUGGGUGGUCAUCUUUAUCCAUGUGCAUAUGCUUCUUUGGUAAAAUUUUUUAAAGCAAAUACUUAAAUUUCUCUAUCCCCAACCUCUUUGUCUUCUUAUUACUAGUUAAUUGGUCUUCUGGCUAAUCACUGGGCGGAUUUCUGUCAUCCCUCUGAAUGUAAUCUAUCUGGAAAAUACUUCCUAUCUGGCUCCCAAACCACAGCAAGACCCAGCACCAGAGAAGAAGUGGCUCCUUAUGGAUGCCUCAGCGAGGCUGAUGUCACAGCCAAACAAGAUGGUCGACUGAAAUGACUGAUGAAUGCAACCUGAGCUGACAGCUUUAAAUUUGGGAUGUGUUACUG